Molecule: long non-coding RNA, 1441 nt
Organism: Eriocheir sinensis (Chinese mitten crab)
Lineage: Eukaryota; Metazoa; Arthropoda; Malacostraca; Decapoda; Varunidae
Exons: 3
Source: RefSeq, a predicted model, not a curated record
UUAAGUACUCUGACGUGGUGAUGUUGACCUCGAAGUACUGCCGGAGGUCAUUGAAGUCUCACAAGCUCCUUCCUUUGUAUAUUAUGUGACACGCUGGUUACGCUGGGGUGGAGGCGAGGUCACUUGUAACAUGCAGCAGAGGCCGGGGUUCGAACCGGGGCCGGGCGGCUACGGGGCUUGUAGGUGAGGGCGGGGUUCGAACCGGGGACAACAGUUACGUGGGCGGCUACGGGGCUUGUAGGUGAGGGCGGGGUUCGAACCGGGGCCAACAGUUACGUGGGCGGCUACGGGGCUUGUAGGUGAGGGCGGGAUUCGAACCGGGGCCAACAGUUACGUGGGCGGCUACGGGGCUUGUAGGUGAGGGCGGGAUUCGAACCGGGGCCAACAGUUACGUGGGCGGCUACGGGGCUUGUAGGUGAGGGCGGGAUUCGAACCGGGGCCAACAGUUACAUGGGCGGCUACGGGGCUUGUAGGUGAGGGCGGGAUUCGAACCGGGGCCAACAGUUACGUGGGCGGCUACGGGGCUUGUAGAUGAGGGCGGGAUUCGAACCGGGGACAACAGUUACGUGGGCGGCUACGGGGCUUGUAGGUGAGGGCGGGAUUCGAACCGGGUCCAGCAGUUACGUGGGCGGCUACGGGGCUUGUAGGUGAGGGCGGGUUUCGAACCGGGGCCAACAGUUACGUGGGCGGCUACGGGGCUUGUAGGUGAGGGCGGGAUUCGAACCGGGGCCAACAGUUACGUGGGCGGCUACGGGGCUUGUAGAUGAGGGCGGGAUUCGAACCGGGGACAACAGUUACGUGGGCGGGGGCGGCGCUUGUUAAGACUCCCCGCCGAUAUAACACACUUCUAACAUGCAGCAGAGGGCGGGUAUCGAACUGGGACCCGGAAGAUACAUAGUCGGGGGCCGUAACACAAACACUUGACCUACGGUGCAUGGGAAUCGAACCCAGACCAGCAGAUUCAGGGGCAGCGGGUGUUGGCGAAGAGGUCCCGCGGCCACCACUGAACAGCGGCCUGACGGAGACUGUUACCGAACGAGGUGGAGGUUUGUGUUAAACUGAGGUACUGGUGAAGAGCUCCCGCGAUCAACACACUGAACAGCGGCCUGACGGAGACUGUUACCGAACGAGGUGGAGGUUUGUGUUAAACUGAGGUACUGGUGAAGAGCUCCCGCGGCCAACAUACUGAACAGCGGCCUGACGGAGACUGUUACCGAACGAGGUGGAGGUUUGUGUUAAACUGAGGUACUGGUGAAGAGCUCCCGCGAUCAACACACUGAACAGCGGCCUGACGGAGACUGUUACCGAACGAGGUGGAGGUUUGUGUUAAACUGAGGUACUGGUGAAGAGCUCCCGCGAUCAACACACUGAACAGCGGCUUGACGGAGACUACUGCCGGACGACGUGGAGGUUUGUGUUAAACUGAGGUACUGGACUACUG